This is a non-coding RNA of Schizosaccharomyces pombe (fission yeast), 1392 nucleotides long. Lineage: Eukaryota; Fungi; Ascomycota; Schizosaccharomycetes; Schizosaccharomycetales; Schizosaccharomycetaceae. The record is from the annotation of a GenBank genome assembly.
CUCAAACCAUUUUCGUCCGUUCAUCGGUAAAGAAAUCAUCCCGAUGCUUUGGUGGAUUGAGUUUCACCAGCCAAAAGCAUGAAUUUUAAGUCAUAAGAACCUCUUUACAACUUGUCAUCAACAAAGCGUUGAGCCUUGUCAUGAGCCUCUUGAGAGGUGCUCUUGUCCUCGUCAGAGGUAAAAGCAGAGGCGACCUUGUCGUAGGCACCAGUAAUGGAUUCCUUGGCCUUGUCGAGGGUAGACUUGGAGGAGUCAGGAGUCAUUUUCUCCUUGCCUUGUUCAGUAAAAGACUUUCUUGCGGGAUCAGACAUUUUGAAUAUUUAAGACAAUUAAAUUGAUUGGAAUUGAAUUGAAUGAUUAAACUGUUGAACUUGGACUCGUAUUUAUAGCUUCUUGUCCAAUUGCUCAUGUCAUUAUGAUCGCAGCCCAUUACAUCACAUUUGCGUCAGUUAGCAUUAGAAACUGGAGAAAACUGCGAUCCAAGGAAUUACGUAGUUUUCUAUCAGAUAGCUCGCUAUCCAAUCAGACAAAUAAUGAGCAGCUUCUAGCAAAGCCCCUUUUCUUCGCACCAUUCGUUUUCUGAGCUACGUAAGCUAUUUCCAAUGAGCGCCCACUCUACUUUCUUAUGAUGUAAUACAGAAGCUUUGUGGAUUUGCAAAGCGAGAUAGCGAGUACGGUAAAACCCUCGCUAGGUUAGAGGUUCAAAGUGGAGAGAAGCGAAGUGGUGGUACUAGUUCAAAGAGAGAGAGAGAGAGAAAGAGAGGAAGAAGGGGAAGUGCAUCUUGUCUUUAGAGUGAGUAUCCCUUAGGAAACAAACUUAUUUCUGUAAAUAAAUUUUAAGAAGUUUUCUUUGUCUUUUAAAAUUCCGAAGUAUUCUUUGCAUGAUGGUGUUGUUAUUGGGUGAUGAAAUUUUGAUCUAAAUAGGGGAACUUCACUUGUUGAAAAAAAAAACAAUUAGAGCAAAAACAAUAACACUUUGCAAAACGUUAUUUAAAAGAUAACCACAACCAUGUUCAAAGUGAGUAUGGCUUAGUAGAGGCAAUCUCAUUCAGGUAUUACACACACUGCGCACAAUAACACAAUUGUUUCAACGCCGCACGUAUUGCAUGCGAUACAUCGUGAAAUUCCGUUAUAAGCAGGGAAUAUUACGAGAUGCUGCAAACUGCGGAUUACACAACUACGCAAUAGAGAGUUGGUAAACCAUUAUUUUGUUAGACGAACUGCAAUGAUGGUUUUGUUAAAUCAAUAAUAAGGAGAAGUAAGGUGUAGCUAAAGACCAUUUAUAAUCUUUUAGGAAGCGUAACCCAAGGUGUGUAACCCGAAGUAGAGAAGAAAAGAUGAUACGUGAGAAAUGUGAGAUGAGAACAUGAGCAAAAGUAGGAAUGGCUCGAC